UGACUUCAGUAGAAUCAGGAUU
This 22-nucleotide microRNA is filed under the name Chrysemys picta bellii (western painted turtle). RNAcentral's name for it is "Cpi-Mir-1677-P1a2_3p (mature (guide))". Lineage: Eukaryota; Metazoa; Chordata; Testudines; Emydidae. RNAcentral also lists the same sequence under 1 other name. The record is from RNAcentral.